CUUUUAUUUGGGAAGAAGGAGUGCGGCAAAUACCCUGCAUGACGGACGGUACCGGAUGAAUAAGCACCGGCUAACUACGUGC
RNAcentral lists this ribosomal RNA (82 nucleotides) under uncultured bacterium. RNAcentral's name for it is "partial 16S ribosomal RNA". The record is from RNAcentral.